RNAcentral lists this ribosomal RNA (253 nucleotides) under uncultured bacterium. RNAcentral's name for it is "partial 16S ribosomal RNA". It matches the Rfam family "Bacterial small subunit ribosomal RNA", at positions 524 to 776 of the family's 1533-position model. The record is from RNAcentral.
UACGUAGGGUGCAAGCGUUGUUCGGAAUCAUUGGGCGUAAAGCGCGUGUAGGUGGCUAGUUAAGUUGGAUGUGAAAUCCCUGGGCUCAACCGAGGAAGUGCAUUCAAAACUGGCUGGCUAGAAGAUGGUAGAGGAAGGUGGAAUUCCAAGUGUAGAGGUGAAAUUCGUAGAUAUUUGGAGGAAUACCGGCGGCGAAGGCGGCCUUCGGGGCCAUUCUUGACACUGAGACGCGAAAGCGUGGGGAGCAAACAGG